GUGGAUUAGAUACCCUAGUAGUCCACGCCGUAAACGAUGGAUACUAGGUGUAGGAGGUAUCGACCCCUUCUGUGCCGGAGUUAACACAAUAAGUAUCCCACCUGGGGAGUACGGCCGCAAGGUUGAAACUCAAAGGAAUUGACGGGGGCCCGCACAAGCAGUGGAGUAUGUGGUUUAAUUCGAAGCAACGCGAAGAACCUUACCAGGGCUUGACAUACCAUUGACGUAUCUAGAGAUAGGUAUUUCCUUCGGGACAAUGGAUACAGGUGGUGCACGGUCGUCGACAACU
This 289-nucleotide ribosomal RNA is filed under the name uncultured bacterium. RNAcentral describes it as "partial 16S ribosomal RNA". It matches the Rfam family "Bacterial small subunit ribosomal RNA", at positions 773 to 1060 of the family's 1533-position model. The record is from RNAcentral.